UAAGGGAAUACAAAGAUAAAUGCCUGCACUCUACUCCCAAGGAGUUCAGAGUCCAAGAGAGAGACAGAUAUAUCAACAAAUAUUAACAGUACAGAGUGAUAAGCCAACAGUCUAAGCAUACGAAUAGUUCACAGGCAGAGAAGAGAAGGGAGUGAUUACCCAUCAUUCCCAACCCCUCACUGGGAAGAAGCCUGUGGAAGAGGCGACACCUACUCUGGACUUUGAAAGGCAUUUCAGGCAGUGGAGUUGGAGCACACAAUCACACAGUGGUGAAACUGAAUGGCAUGUUUAGAAUGAUGUUGCUGGAGGGUAAGAGGAGGAUGAUGGAGACAAAGAAUGCAAAGAGCUUAACUACCACACCAGCAUGGUACGAGGAGCUCCCUGGUGUGCUUUAAUAUUUAGACCAAACACAAGACAGAUGUAUUCCUGGUGCCUGUGUACCAUUACAACUCAUUGAUCAAAUGCAGCAACAUCAACUUCCCAAGAAGUCCCUUU
RNAcentral lists this long non-coding RNA (495 nucleotides) under Callithrix jacchus (white-tufted-ear marmoset). RNAcentral describes it as "lncRNA (ENSCJAG00000054584.2)". Lineage: Eukaryota; Metazoa; Chordata; Mammalia; Primates; Cebidae. The record is from RNAcentral.